GUGCUAUAGACAGCAACUGUGUGUAAGUUGUUGGCUCCAAUUCAGUAACUGCACAGAAGCCAAAUCCAUCCUGCUUCCUGUGGAGAGAGUAUCAGGAUAAAAGAAACUGCUGCUGCAGUUUCCUAGAGUCUGCAAAGAAACGACUGCUAUUCUUACGUAAAUGUGCAUGCAGCCAUCAGUCAGCGAUUUCCAAGUAUGCAGGAGUCCUACAAAGACAGAGAUUUGGCUCCUCCCUCAAUGGACCCUCCCUUCA
This 253-nucleotide long non-coding RNA is filed under the name Vulpes vulpes (red fox). Its description in RNAcentral is "lncRNA (ENSVVUG00000000311.1)". Lineage: Eukaryota; Metazoa; Chordata; Mammalia; Carnivora; Canidae. The record is from RNAcentral.